RNAcentral lists this ribosomal RNA (404 nucleotides) under Fusobacteriota bacterium. Its description in RNAcentral is "Fusobacteria bacterium partial 16S ribosomal RNA". It matches the Rfam family "Bacterial small subunit ribosomal RNA", at positions 355 to 776 of the family's 1533-position model. The record is from RNAcentral. Lineage: Bacteria; Fusobacteriati; Fusobacteriota.
UGGGGAAUAUUGCACAAUGGAGGGAACUCUGAUGCAGCGACGCCGCGUGAGUGAUGAAGGAAUUCGUUUCGUAAAACUCUGUUCUAUGGGAAGAAAAGGACUGUACCAUAGGAGAAAGCUCCGGCUAAAUACGUGCCAGCAGCCGCGGUAAUAUGUAUGGAGCGAGCGUUGUCCGGAAUUAUUGGGCGUAAAGGGUGCGCAGGCGGCUUUACAAGUUGGAUGUGAAAUAUUGUGGCUCAACCACAAACGUGCAUCCAAAACUGCAAAGCUUGAGUUAAGGAGAGGUAAGUGGAAUUCCUGGUGUAGCGGUGGAAUGCGUAGAUAUCAGGAGGAAUACCGGUGGCGAAGGCGACUUACUGGACUUAAACUGACGCUCAGGCACGAAAGCGUGGGGAGCAAACAGG